GACGUCAUGAUCAUCUACGCGUAGAACGCUGAAGUGCCGGGUUAUCGGGCGCAUUUAGGUGCAAGAGGUCCGCCGAACAGGUGUGUUGCAAGAUCCCAUAUGACUGAACUUUAUUUUGGAGCAACAAGAUUGCCACCUGAAGUUAAAUUGCUCCGCUCUCAGAAUGAGGUGAUAUCGGAAGGAGAGGUUAAGGGCCUCAUCCAAGGGUGCCGGACGCGUGGCACGCGGCUCUGGUAGAGGCCAUGUGCGGCCCCCUGCCUCCGACGCCAGCUGCCCCGGACGUCACGGCGCCCGUCCACUGGCAGCUGGACAUCGUCAUCAACCACAGCGAGCGAGGAAGGAUUCUAGAGCCUUCUGUCGGACUGGGCAUACCAAGCAGCUCAGGGGAGACCACGUACCUUCAGUUUCCGAAAGCUCAAUUUCUCCGCUUCCGCCAAGAGAUGGCAGUGAUGCAGCGUGAAAUGGAGUCCGCCGAGUCCAAGGCUGGCAUUCGACCCAGCUGAGUAACAUGUGGUUUCGAUAAGUUGUGUGCUCUGUGAACCUUUGUCGAAGAGGAAAAUGGCAUGUGCUACUCAUCCACGCUAUGUUUAUCGAAUAUUUCCAAAGGCAUCGGUGCUGCUGAUCGGGCAAACAGCCUGUUGUGUGAGGACUUCUUUUGUCUGCGCCCCUGAGACCGAAAGAACCUACUUCAACACCACAGAAGAAAUGAAAAGUAUGACGCUCCCUUGCGAGUGUGGAGGCGGAUUGGGACGUGUGUAAACAGUUGAAAAGGAAACUUUGGCUCGGCACGUUACCGUUUUGCAGCGACAACACACAAUGACACGUGGGCUGGACGGCCGUUGAAAACGCGCUGAAUCAUGUGCCUGUAUGUGUAUGGGUGUACCUGACUGGAGUCAACCGCGCUGGGAGCUUAUAAAAGUGAUCAUCUACGAUCGUAAUA
Molecule: unclassified non-coding RNA, 940 nt
Filed under: Pollicipes pollicipes
Lineage: Eukaryota; Metazoa; Arthropoda; Thecostraca; Pollicipedomorpha; Pollicipedidae
Description: cOMM domain-containing protein 5-like, transcript variant X2
Source: RNAcentral